UCCCUUAGAUUUAAAUUGGAGCUGUGCUUCGUCUCUCUCCUCAGUUGGUAAAAGAACAUCUUGUGUGUGAGAAAGAUGCUGAGUAUCAUCUUCAGACAUAUCCGCUUGCUACUAAUUCUUUGUGAAUGGAGGCUGCAAAACACGGGAGAGAGGAUUAUUCCUGCUUUCUGCACAAACUGACCUCCAACUGGAUUCCACCUACAUCUGCCUUCCACCUGGACACAUGAGAGCUUAAAUGCUGACUGCCCUUCCAUCUUCCUAAGCCACUGUCUAAAACUCUUUUUCUGCAUAGAUUCUGUCAGCUUUCCGCCCCGUGAUAUCCGACAACACUCAAAAUGAGAUCAAACAAUACCAUUUAGCAGCUAGGCUAUGACCCUAAUUUGCUUCAUUAUGAUACAUUAGCUAUCUGACUAUCAGGAGGAUAUUAGCCUAGACCUGUGACUUGGCUUUUUAUGCUAAUCCAUUGUGGGAGAGCUGAUUCAGAAGCACUUAAUCUGGCCUUAUAUUGAUAUUGAAGCUACCGAUUCGAGUCCUUUAAAUCAAUUUGGCAGCUCAGCUGUAUGGGGCCCCCAACGAUUCUCCAACUGGAUAUCUGGCUGAAAAUCAUCCCACCAUUGUAAUUUGAUUGUUUGCAAGCAAGUGCAAGGAGAUUAUUAAAAAUAUGUAGUGUUCUUUUUAGGUUCCAAUAUCCUAUAUGCAUCUUUAUUGUGAUAAGUUUGUCCAACAAUGGCUGUUUUUUUGGCUGCUUUUAAAAAAGCUCUUUAAGGUGCAAGGUAUAAUUUUCCAUUUUCAGACAAAGACAACCUGGGUGCACGUCAUGUUUUUUGAAGGUUUUUAGUUGUAAUUUUUAACAAUAACAAAAAAGAAUGAGAAAACUAGUAGUACAGUAGGUGGUAGUGGUUGCUGUGGGCAGCCUAUGGCUAGGUAAGACUGUUUGUACAGUUCAAGUUGUGAAUUCACCAAUUUAAUUAAUCUGGAUAUGGAUGGAGAAGAGGGGACCCAUCGAAUGGAGGGUCGCUGCUUUUUGGGGGUAAAAAAGAAGUGCACUUAUUCAUACAUACCCAGCAAGCAUGUGUAGAAGAUGUGUUUAGGAGUUGAAAUAAUGAAAGUUCAACCAAUACAAGUUUCACGAUUUUUUGCCAAAAUCUCUGGGUAUCCAAAUGACCACAUUAAGGGGCGGAUUUAUUAAAAUUCACCUAUUCAUUCCUAUUGGAUUUUUAAAAGUGUAUUUUUCAGUGGGUGAAAGUUAAAAAUCCCAUAAGAAUGAAUACAACUUUGGUGAGUUGUUAUUUAUUAAGCUCCAAGCUCACAUAUUGAUAAAUCUGCCCCUAAAUGUAGGAAGUCUGCCUCUGGAGUAAUGCAUCUGAGGCAUCUGCAAUGGUCAGCCCUACCCAUAGUAUUUAGUUUCAGUGGCAUCAGAUAGAUUUAAUGGAUAAUUUUAAAAUAAAUUAAUUUGUCUCUAUUACUGAUGAGAGGGUGGUAUAUAUUAUCUUCUACUUCAUCCUAGUCAUUAGGUGGAUUCCACUGGUCUCCCACUUGAGUUUAACUCUGGGUUCUUAUUUGUUAGUAGUUAAGUAGGUGGAAGCCUUAGAAAGCAGUUUAUGGUUCCUUGCAAUGGUAAUUAUAGAUUCCAUAUUAAUGUACUGUAUGUUAGGAAGCCUACCUGAAAAUUGUGUGGCAUAGAGAUGGUACAUUUGAAUUGGUUUAAAGACUUCUCCAUAAGGUGUUGGAGCCGUUUUUGAAAGCAGAUUUAUCAAAGUGUGAAGUUAGUGCUCACCACAGAAAAAUUCACCCACCUUCUAUUCAUUACUUUGGGAUUUUUAAAGGUGUAUUUAUCAAAUAGCAUUUGAUAAAUGCUCUUCUAAAAACUCCAUAAGAAUGAAUCAAAAGUGUGUGAAUUUUUCUGUGGUAAGCUCUAAUUUCACACUUACAUAACAACAUAAACUCGUAAAGUCAUUAUUGGUAUCUCUUCCUCUUUAGUUUUGGCCUUGCACAUUGUAUCCAUCUCUGUAUAGAAAUGUUCCAAAUAUUACACCACCAGAAUUUGCAGUUUUAUAACCUUUAUGCCUCUAAAGUGGGACAUAAGCCAGAUUACACCAA
Molecule: long non-coding RNA, 2100 nt
Organism: Xenopus tropicalis (tropical clawed frog)
Lineage: Eukaryota; Metazoa; Chordata; Amphibia; Anura; Pipidae
Exons: 4
Source: RefSeq, a predicted model, not a curated record